This 750-nucleotide ribosomal RNA is filed under the name uncultured bacterium. RNAcentral's name for it is "bacterial SSU rRNA". It matches the Rfam family "Bacterial small subunit ribosomal RNA", at positions 43 to 770 of the family's 1533-position model. The record is from RNAcentral.
CAGGCCUAACACAUGCAAGUCGAACGAACCGCGACCGAGUGCUUGCACUUGGUCAAGGUGAGUGGCGAACGGGUGAGUAACACGUGGGUAACCUACCUCAUAGUGGGGGAUAACAGUCGGAAACGACUGCUAAUACCGCAUAGGACAUGGAAUCACAUGAUUCUGUGAGGAAAGGUGGCGCAAGCUAUCGCUAAGAGAUGGACCCGCGGUGCAUUAGCUAGUUGGUAGGGUAACGGCCUACCAAGGCGAUGAUGCAUAGCCGACCUGAGAGGGUGAUCGGCCACAUUGGGACUGAGACACGGCCCAAACCCCUACGGGAGGCAGCAGUAGGGAAUCUUCCGCAAUGGACGCAAGUCUGACGGAGCAACGCCGCGUGAGUGAAGAAGGUCUUCGGAUCGUAAAGCUCUGUUGUUAGAGAAGAACAGCGCAUAGAGUAACUGUUAUGCGUGUGACGGUAUCUAACCAGAAAGCCACGGCUAACUACGUGCCAGCAGCCGCGGUAAUACGUAGGUGGCGAGCGUUGUCCGGAUUUAUUGGGCGUAAAGGGAGUGUAGGCGGUCUUUUAAGUCUGAUGUGAAAGCCCACGGCUCAACCGUGGAGGGUCAUUGGAAACUGGGAGACUUGAGUGCAGAAGAGGAGAGCGGAAUUCCAUGUGUAGCGGUGAAAUGCGUAGAUAUAUGGAGGAACACCAGUGGCGAAGGCGGCUCUCUGGUCUGUAACUGACGCUGAGGCUCGAAAGCGUGGGGAGCA